Molecule: ribosomal RNA, 2903 nt
Filed under: Escherichia coli 2.3916
Lineage: Bacteria; Pseudomonadati; Pseudomonadota; Gammaproteobacteria; Enterobacterales; Enterobacteriaceae
Description: bacterial LSU rRNA
Rfam family: Bacterial large subunit ribosomal RNA
Source: RNAcentral
GGUUAAGCGACUAAGCGUACACGGUGGAUGCCCUGGCAGUCAGAGGCGAUGAAGGACGUGCUAAUCUGCGAUAAGCGUCGGUAAGGUGAUAUGAACCGUUAUAACCGGCGAUUUCCGAAUGGGGAAACCCAGUGUGUUUCGACACACUAUCAUUAACUGAAUCCAUAGGUUAAUGAGGCGAACCGGGGGAACUGAAACAUCUAAGUACCCCGAGGAAAAGAAAUCAACCGAGAUUCCCCCAGUAGCGGCGAGCGAACGGGGAGCAGCCCAGAGCCUGAAUCAGUAUGUGUGUUAGUGGAAGCGUCUGGAAAGGCGCGCGAUACAGGGUGACAGCCCCGUACACAAAAAUGCACAUGCUGUGAGCUCGAUGAGUAGGGCGGGACACGUGGUAUCCUGUCUGAAUAUGGGGGGACCAUCCUCCAAGGCUAAAUACUCCUGACUGACCGAUAGUGAACCAGUACCGUGAGGGAAAGGCGAAAAGAACCCCGGCGAGGGGAGUGAAAAAGAACCUGAAACCGUGUACGUACAAGCAGUGGGAGCACGCUUAGGCGUGUGACUGCGUACCUUUUGUAUAAUGGGUCAGCGACUUAUAUUCUGUAGCAAGGUUAACCGAAUAGGGGAGCCGAAGGGAAACCGAGUCUUAACUGGGCGUUAAGUUGCAGGGUAUAGACCCGAAACCCGGUGAUCUAGCCAUGGGCAGGUUGAAGGUUGGGUAACACUAACUGGAGGACCGAACCGACUAAUGUUGAAAAAUUAGCGGAUGACUUGUGGCUGGGGGUGAAAGGCCAAUCAAACCGGGAGAUAGCUGGUUCUCCCCGAAAGCUAUUUAGGUAGCGCCUCGUGAAUUCAUCUCCGGGGGUAGAGCACUGUUUCGGCAAGGGGGUCAUCCCGACUUACCAACCCGAUGCAAACUGCGAAUACCGGAGAAUGUUAUCACGGGAGACACACGGCGGGUGCUAACGUCCGUCGUGAAGAGGGAAACAACCCAGACCGCCAGCUAAGGUCCCAAAGUCAUGGUUAAGUGGGAAACGAUGUGGGAAGGCCCAGACAGCCAGGAUGUUGGCUUAGAAGCAGCCAUCAUUUAAAGAAAGCGUAAUAGCUCACUGGUCGAGUCGGCCUGCGCGGAAGAUGUAACGGGGCUAAACCAUGCACCGAAGCUGCGGCAGCGACACUAUGUGUUGUUGGGUAGGGGAGCGUUCUGUAAGCCUGUGAAGGUGUGCUGUGAGGCAUGCUGGAGGUAUCAGAAGUGCGAAUGCUGACAUAAGUAACGAUAAAGCGGGUGAAAAGCCCGCUCGCCGGAAGACCAAGGGUUCCUGUCCAACGUUAAUCGGGGCAGGGUGAGUCGACCCCUAAGGCGAGGCCGAAAGGCGUAGUCGAUGGGAAACAGGUUAAUAUUCCUGUACUUGGUGUUACUGCGAAGGGGGGACGGAGAAGGCUAUGUUGGCCGGGCGACGGUUGUCCCGGUUUAAGCGUGUAGGCUGGUUUUCCAGGCAAAUCCGGAAAAUCAAGGCUGAGGCGUGAUGACGAGGCACUACGGUGCUGAAGCAACAAAUGCCCUGCUUCCAGGAAAAGCCUCUAAGCAUCAGGUAACAUCAAAUCGUACCCCAAACCGACACAGGUGGUCAGGUAGAGAAUACCAAGGCGCUUGAGAGAACUCGGGUGAAGGAACUAGGCAAAAUGGUGCCGUAACUUCGGGAGAAGGCACGCUGAUAUGUAGGUGAAGUCCCUCGCGGAUGGAGCUGAAAUCAGUCGAAGAUACCAGCUGGCUGCAACUGUUUAUUAAAAACACAGCACUGUGCAAACACGAAAGUGGACGUAUACGGUGUGACGCCUGCCCGGUGCCGGAAGGUUAAUUGAUGGGGUCAGCGCAAGCGAAGCUCUUGAUCGAAGCCCCGGUAAACGGCGGCCGUAACUAUAACGGUCCUAAGGUAGCGAAAUUCCUUGUCGGGUAAGUUCCGACCUGCACGAAUGGCGUAAUGAUGGCCAGGCUGUCUCCACCCGAGACUCAGUGAAAUUGAACUCGCUGUGAAGAUGCAGUGUACCCGCGGCAAGACGGAAAGACCCCGUGAACCUUUACUAUAGCUUGACACUGAACAUUGAGCCUUGAUGUGUAGGAUAGGUGGGAGGCUUUGAAGUGUGGACGCCAGUCUGCAUGGAGCCGACCUUGAAAUACCACCCUUUAAUGUUUGAUGUUCUAACGUGGACCCGUGAUCCGGGUUGCGGACAGUGUCUGGUGGGUAGUUUGACUGGGGCGGUCUCCUCCUAAAGAGUAACGGAGGAGCACGAAGGUUGGCUAAUCCUGGUCGGACAUCAGGAGGUUAGUGCAAUGGCAUAAGCCAGCUUGACUGCGAGCGUGACGGCGCGAGCAGGUGCGAAAGCAGGUCAUAGUGAUCCGGUGGUUCUGAAUGGAAGGGCCAUCGCUCAACGGAUAAAAGGUACUCCGGGGAUAACAGGCUGAUACCGCCCAAGAGUUCAUAUCGACGGCGGUGUUUGGCACCUCGAUGUCGGCUCAUCACAUCCUGGGGCUGAAGUAGGUCCCAAGGGUAUGGCUGUUCGCCAUUUAAAGUGGUACGCGAGCUGGGUUUAGAACGUCGUGAGACAGUUCGGUCCCUAUCUGCCGUGGGCGCUGGAGAACUGAGGGGGGCUGCUCCUAGUACGAGAGGACCGGAGUGGACGCAUCACUGGUGUUCGGGUUGUCAUGCCAAUGGCACUGCCCGGUAGCUAAAUGCGGAAGAGAUAAGUGCUGAAAGCAUCUAAGCACGAAACUUGCCCCGAGAUGAGUUCUCCCUGACCCUUUAAGGGUCCUGAAGGAACGUUGAAGACGACGACGUUGAUAGGCCGGGUGUGUAAGCGCAGCGAUGCGUUGAGCUAACCGGUACUAAUGAACCGUGAGGCUUAACCUU